Molecule: ribosomal RNA, 381 nt
Filed under: uncultured eukaryote
Lineage: Eukaryota
Description: partial 18S ribosomal RNA
Rfam family: Eukaryotic small subunit ribosomal RNA
Source: RNAcentral
CAAUAGCGUAUAUUAAAGCUGUUGCGGUUAAAAAGCUCGUAGUUGGAUUUCUGUCAAGGACAACUGGUCCGCCCCUCGGGUGAGCACAUAGUUUGGUCUUGGCAUCUUGUUGGAAACUGUUGCGGCACUUGGUUGUGUGGCGCAGUGUCCAGCACUUUCACUUUGAGGAAAUUGGAGUGUUUCAAGCAGGCACAUGCCUUUGGACACAGUAGCAUGGAAUAAUUAGAUUGGGCUUUUGCUCCAACUUGUCGGUUUCUGGAGCUGAGGUGAGAAUUAAUGGGGAUUGUUGGGGGCAUCCGAAUUUAGCCGUCAGAGGUGAAAUUCUUGGAUCUGCUAAAGACGGACAACUGCGAAAGCGUUUGCCCAGGAUGUUUUCAUUGA